Molecule: ribosomal RNA, 253 nt
Filed under: uncultured bacterium
Lineage: Bacteria
Description: partial 16S ribosomal RNA
Rfam family: Bacterial small subunit ribosomal RNA
Source: RNAcentral
UACGUAGGGGGCAAGCGUUGUCCGGAUUUAUUGGGCGUAAAGAGCGUGUAGGCGGCUUUGCAAGUCCGUUGUGAAAACUCGAGGCUCAACCUCGAGACGCCGGUGGAAACUGCAAAGCUAGAGUCCGGAAGAGGAGAGUGGAAUUCCUGGUGUAGCGGUGAAAUGCGCAGAUAUCAGGAAGAACACCCGUGGCGAAGGCGGCUCUCUGGACUGUCCCUGACGCUGAGACGCGAAAGCGUGGGGAGCAAACAGG